CAAUCGCUUCUCCGAAUCCAGAUGUGCAAAUUCGGAAUGUCUGCUUGAGCCCCUGGUAUAUGAACCCCUGGCUAGUUUUGAUUGUGGUUGAUGAAUUGCCCAUGCUGAGAAGCUGUGAUUUUAUCAGUGCUACUGUCCUGGGUGUUUUGGGAACUAAGGGAGGGAUCUUGGGGAUGUUAUGAUCAGAAUGAAUGUUGUACAUUUUUAGGGCUGCUUCACUAACAAUAAAUCCACUCUGACCAGCAACCCAAAUAAGGUGUGGCAUAGAGGCUGCGAGGGGUUUGAUUGGUGAGAGCUCUCUGCAUCUAAACAGGCAAAAUUAAAGCUUCUGUUUCUGUUCUGGUGGGGGUAGAAGAGGACGCUUCCUUGCACAAGUUGCAUCUCACUCACAGAGGUUUAACAUGAAGACUGUCCUGCUUGUCACUGCUCUUCUCCUGAUGAAUUUGAUGACUGAAACCUUUGCUACAACGCAAAAAACCACGGUGUCACCCCAAACAAGCCUGGGCACCCCCUGCUGCGUCCCAGCUUCUCUUUUGCUGGUGUUUGCCUUGGCAGCAAUUUACCUCCUCCGAGCAAAAUGAGCCCCCACACUUCACUCCCCAGAGAGAUGCCAACGCUGCCUUCUGCCUGCCACCAGCUCAGCCUCUCCUGCCGGGCACCCCGCUGGAGCCUGCCAAUCCGCGUAACCCAGCCAGCAUAACUGCUCCAGUUCAAGUCUUCCCGCAACACACCCACUGCGCACUUCUCUUCGCAGCCAUCGGCUUCUUUCCCAUCAGAGCCAUUCGUUCCACCACCUGCGAUGGAAUCCCG
This is a long non-coding RNA of Chrysemys picta bellii (western painted turtle), 810 nucleotides long. RefSeq lists it as uncharacterized. The record is from RefSeq and is a predicted model, not a curated record. Lineage: Eukaryota; Metazoa; Chordata; Testudines; Emydidae.